CCUCCUCCUCCUCCUCGGGCUCCCCCGGCGGCGCCGUGCCCGGCAGCCCCACGCUGGGCGGCUCGGCGGAGCCCGGGGACCCGCUGAGCCUCUACGAGGAGGGGGGCGGCGGCGCGGGCCGGCCCGACGGCGACUGCGGCGCCCCCUGCCCCUCGCCUCCGGGGUCGGGGUCGGGCUCGGGCUCGCCCGCCGACCACCGCAGCUACACCAGCCUGCGGGCCUCGUCGCCGGCCCCCUCGACGGCGCGGUCCUCCUCCGCGUCCUCCCACUCGUCCUCCUCCUCCUCGUCCUCUUCCUCCUCCUCCGGCUCCUCUUCGUCGGACGACGAGUUCGAGGACGACCUCUUGGACCUCAACCCGAGCCCCAGCUUCGAGAGCAUGUCCCUGGGCAGCUUCGGCUCCUCCGUGCUCGACCGGGACCUGGAUUUUAACUUCGAGCCCGGCUCGGGCUCGCACUUCGAGUUCCCGGACUACUGCACGCCGGAGGUAAGUGAGAUGAUCUCGGGGGACUGGCUGGAGUCCAGCAUCUCCAACCUGGUCUUCACCUACUGAGCUCCGCGGCCGGCCCGAGCUGGAGAAGGCGCAGACGCGGUGCCGGGAGGACUCGCCCGCCCCGUCGGGGCUCUCGGGGGGCUUUUUUGGCCGGGCAGGGGCCGGGGACACUGCUGCUGAUGGGCGCACACCCCCUGCGAGGGACAAGCCCGGCCCUGCUUCUCCAGAGACUGGCGGCGGCGAAACGCUACCUUUUUCCUUUCUUUUGUUUUGUCCCGAAAAGAGAGACGAGAGGGGGGGGACAGAUGGGGGACCGCAGACACCUCUGGGGCCUUUGUUAUCGCCCGCUUGGUGCGAAAGAGGAGGGGAGCGAUGCCUUGUGCUGGAUGUCUCGACUGUUUCGCCCUUUCCCGCGAAAGAGCGAGAGGAACUGCUUGAAAAAAAAAAAGAAAAAGACACACACAAAAGUCCACCCGAGCCUUUGCAAGGUUCACAUUUUGGGGGGGGGGGGAGAAAUCCCGUCCCGGUUUUUCUUGUGGGGGGUGGGGAGGCAGAGGUUCCAGAAUAUGCAGCGCAGUACAUGGCUGUGCUGGGCGAGAAACCCGAUAGAAAUGCUGGCUCAGGCUAGAGCUAAGGCUGGAUACUGUAACAUUCAUUUAACCUUAUAAAAGCCUGUCCAGCAUCCAGUUACCUAAAGAAGGCAUACGUAAGCAGUCAUGGAAAAGCUCAAAUCUACUUGCAUUCAGAACCCAAGUAAUCCAAUAUUAGUAGCACAGCCAAAUGUUUACAAGUAUGUAUGCUUGUAAUUAGCUAAGUAAUUUCAUCCAUCUCUGCCCUCGAGAGAAGCAUUAGAACUGGGCCUAUAGUGGAAAGCAAAUUUCAAUUGUAAUUAUGGAAUGGUUAGUAUGACUCUGUAAUCCUUUUUCCAAAAUAAUUCCCCAGUGUCUCAGAGGAGGUGAAUCUGUGGCACCACUACUACAGCUGUGAGCCUGUGCUCUGCUCUUAGAUACUCCCGUAUCUGGGAUGAGUAACCAAGUUAGUACCAUCUCUUUUUGUAGCACCAGAAGAUGAUACUAACAUUAUUAUUAUUAUUUUUUGGGGCACCACCAUCAUCCAAUGUUAAUGAGCAGUUGAAUAAGUGUUUGAAGCUGCUGUUACAGUGCCUUAGGAAGCCUGCAAGGUCUCAGACCUUGAGGGUCAAUGGAGUUUGACUUGAACAGCUUAGGGAGGCAUGGUGAAGAGACGAGGGCUUCACAUUGGAAAUUUUGACCUCAAAAUGCUUAAAUCUUUUCCAUUGCUUAGCACUGAUACGGUAUGGGAGCAAGACAGUGCCUUUGGUAUGUGGCAGAGAAUGUCUGAAGCUUUGAAGGGUACCUAUCAGCACAUCUCAGAAAUGGUAAACUAAAUAACUGUGUGUGUGCUUGCAAAUUGUGUGGUUGUGUCCCAGUAAAGCAAAUCGCUGGAGCUGGGACACCAGAAAUGUGCUUAUGUUGAUCUUAUUAUGAAACGUGAGUAAAUAACCAACAUGUUCUAUCAUCUCAUAGUCUAGGUGAUGUCUUAUCUUUUUAACUUUCCUUCUAAACUCAGAAUUUCAAAACUGAGAAAUGGCAGCUUUGCAGCAGGUGCAGCCAGUGGAAGAUGGGGAGCCUUCUUCUACCUUCUUUCAAA
This 2159-nucleotide long non-coding RNA is filed under the name Anas platyrhynchos platyrhynchos (common mallard). RNAcentral describes it as "lncRNA (ENSAPLG00000021549.1)". Lineage: Eukaryota; Metazoa; Chordata; Aves; Anseriformes; Anatidae. The record is from RNAcentral.